GAUGAACGCUGGCGGCGUGCCUAAUACAUGCCAGUCGAGCGAACGGACAAGAAGCUUGCUUCUCUGAUGUUAGCGGCGGACGGGUGAGUAACACGUGGAUAACCUACCUAUAAGACUGGGAUAACUUCGGGAAACCGGAGCUAAUACCGGAUAAUAUUUUGAACCGCAUGGUUCAAAAGUGAAAGACGGUCUUGCUGUCACUUAUAGAUGGAUCCGCGCUGCAUUAGCUAGUUGGUAAGGUAACGGCUUACCAAGGCAACGAUGCAUAGCCGACCUGAGAGGGUGAUCGGCCACACUGGAACUGAGACACGGUCCAGACUCCUACGGGAGGCAGCAGUAGGGAAUCUUCCGCAAUGGGCGAAAGCCUGACGGAGCAACGCCGCGUGAGUGAUGAAGGUCUUCGGAUCGUAAAACUCUGUUAUUAGGGAAGAACAUAUGUGUAAGUAACUGUUCACAUCUUGACGGUACCUAAUCAGAAAGCCACGGCUAACUACGUG
RNAcentral lists this ribosomal RNA (497 nucleotides) under uncultured bacterium. Its description in RNAcentral is "partial 16S ribosomal RNA". It matches the Rfam family "Bacterial small subunit ribosomal RNA", at positions 28 to 507 of the family's 1533-position model. The record is from RNAcentral.